UAGAUACAAGAGAGCGGCCAGAUUUCCAGCGACUCCAGAGAGCCAACUCCAGGGGAUCUCUUCUGCCAAUGGCUACCACUCCUCGCCUCCGUCCUCCGCGCACCGGCCGGCGAACCUGCGUACGCACCUCCCUGGCUCCCUCUCCCCUCCCGCCUCCGCUGUACCGUGGGAGCCCGGCCAGCUGCCCAGGGUGGCCGGGCCUUGGCUCCGCCGGUGCCCGUGACCACACCACUGAAACCCACAGCCCUGGGAACAAAGACGGCGGCGAUGAGGAAGGGCGCCGCGGUUGGCGCCGGACCGGCUCCCGAGCGGCGGCCGUCCUCGGAUCCGCGCCUCCCCGGGGCCACCCCUCUCCCCGCCCCACCGCGCCGCGCCGCGUUGGAUUGCGGACGCUUGUGCGGGCGACGGUGCUGCGGCAGCGGGGGCUGGGGUCGGGGACCGUCGGGGCGUGGUCCGCGGCGGCUUCCGGUCGCGGGCAUGGUCGGGCGAUGCGGGAUCUGAGCCGCCAUUGAUGGGUUUUCUUUCGAGCAUUGGUUGCGAACGUUUCGUUUUGGUAUGGUCUCUGGCUCUCUGCCUCCUCUUGCUCGUUCUUCUCCUCUUCGGCCUUCGCCUCGUCCUCGCCGUCGUCGUGCCAAAAGGCACAACGACUUAGGGCAGGUACAAUAAUGGCCCUAUAGCCAAAGCUAAUGUUGAUGUGGAGGAGAGAAGGAGAGAGAUGAUAGCUUGACUCUAUUAUUGACCUUGCUCUUAUAAUUUGGAAUGGAGCGAGUAAUUAUUGAUUCUUUUCCUUGUGUGCCAUUAUAACUGCUCGAAAUUCCAUAUGACCGACUAAGACCUUCUUUAGUUCCAAGUUACUCCCAUAGGAUCUCUAGACAUGGGAUCUCUAUGACACAUGCAUGGAAUAUUAAAUAUUACAAAGAUUAUGACUAUUCUGCGCGAGGAAUCUUUUAAGCCUAAUUAGUCGUGUGGUGCGACAGUAAACAUGUGCUAGUGACGGUUUAAUUAGGCUUAAUAAGUUUGUCUUGCGGAAAUCGAGGCCGUGCACGGACCAUUCUCAGUUUCGACCGUCGCUUCACACUGCCAUCACUACGGUGCUGCCUCGCCGCCGUUCCAUUCCCUGGCGGGGCUGGGAACCGUGCAGUGGUGCCUGAUGCGGCUUACGAGUUGGGUUUGGUCUACUGGGGCUGCCCUUAUUCGCUACUCCUGAUGGAUGGUAUGAACUGUGGAUAGAAACAGCGGCGGGGCUGCAGUGGUGAUCUACUUCCCCUGUUGUUGCCUGCUGUGCUGUGCUCUGGAUGUCCCGUUCAUCCCUGUCUUUUCUUCCCCUGCUCACCUUGCGGGCUCUCUCUCUCUCUAGCGACGAGAAGCCACCAGGUAUGCCAACCCCUUACCUUCCCUUCCUGCUGUGUGAAACUGACCACCCAAACCUUAACUUAAGCUAUUUGGCUAUUUGUAUUCGGAUCUGAUCUAAUUGCAAGUGUAUACAUGUAUUAUGGCUACUAAGAGCAUCUCCAAGAGUUUCCAAAACUCACUACCAAUCUUGAUUUUUUUGGCAAGAUUGAAAAAACUUCUCUCCAACAACUUCCUUUCUCAACUCCAUCUUUCCGCACUUGGGUAAAUCGAUCCAAUCGCACGGAAAUAUACGCGUGCGUAUCGAUUGGCCAAUCUUUGUGGCAUUUGGAUUGGCAGUAUGAGGGUGUCCCCAACGGGGUUUUAAAUAGCUAGCGAGAAGGAUUGUUUAUAUUAUUUAUAGGAGAGAGAUUGGAUGAAACAAAUUUGCUAGCGCUGAGCAAUGCGCUAGGCUCGCACAGCUCCCCAUAAGACCUGUGUCUACCUCUCUCCUCUUUGCAUGUUGUGCAUGUUGCUGCUUCUCUUUUUUUGUUCAAUCUUGUUUGCAUGUUGCUAGCGAUUUGAAGCAGUCCAUUGCGGAUGCCCUGAAUGGGAUCAGGAUAUGUGAUGAUGAGAUAUAAAGAGGUGGUUUUCUGGCAGUGGCGGAUCUAGGAUCUCAAACAUGGGGGUACGGACCUGAGCGAUGCAAUUCGCUAAUGAUAUAGUGAUGACGACUGAAUAGCGAUAAAUAGUUAGGUAUAUGAAUUUAAAGAAGCAAUUCGUCAACAUUCAUACAAAGAUAGUCAUUGUCAAGGUCUUGAUAAUAAGCAUAUUAGUUUUUGGGUGAUUCAGAGUGGAAAAAAUAAAUCUUUUGUGCUUUAUUGAGUAGUCCAUAAAAAAGCUAAAUCACUAUUCCCUGUAAUGCCUUGACCGUUCUAAGAAAAUAAAAUUAAUUAAAUAAGAUCGAGAUUCAAACUUCACAAAAGAAAUAUAAUAUAAUGAUGAUUUGGAAGGAAAAAAGAGCCAACUUUAUAUAUUUAUCUCUCAUAACUCGUUUUAUGAUUUUUAUCUGGUUUAUUUGGGCUUCCAAGCUGUAGAAGAAAUACUAGUAUGCUAUGCACGGGUUGUUUUCCCUCUUGGAUGAGCAUUUGAGCUUAAGAUAUUGAUAUUUGACAAAGUGUUUAGAAAUAUAAUAUUUUAUAGAUAUACAUACUUUGGUUUUUUACAAAAAUUUUGGGGGUACAGCUGUACCCCCAUGCACCUACACUAGAUCCGCCACUGUUUUCUGGCUUGGGUGUAAGCACCCAGUGGCCUUUGCAAGUGAAAUUUACUUUGGGUGACCGUGUAAGAGAUAGAAAUGGGCCUGAACCUGUGAAUCGAGUGCUGAUGAAGGGCGAUGAUGCCUACCUUUUCUGAUUGCAUGCCAUCGAGCAAUCAAAGCUGCUGCGAGUAUCUAAUUAGAGCUGACCCUCUCCCCUCUUGAAGCACAUUUAAUCACCCCUUUUUGUUUGUUGUUCUGCCUAGGAAGGUCAUUUGGAUAUGUGUGACAACCAGUGCAGUGCCACUUACAUUAGGAUGGUAAAUUGUGCAGCAAGGGAAGGUAGGGCUUGGUUUCUAUGAUUGAGCAAAGGUGAAGCUGAGCUCUCUCUUUUUUUUUUCUUUUUCUUUUUUCUCUUUCCGUCUUUGCAACUAUUCUCCGCUUCAAAUUCUUCCAAUCAAGAAAAUUUGCUUACAUGCUGAUGUCAGAACUUGGCAUUAGGGCAGCUCCAGUGUCUGGUUUGAUUUAUGUGCUGACAUGGAUUCUAAGAUUCGGAUGCUGUGCAUGGUUUGAGCGCUGCAGUGUUGGUGGGGGCCACCACGAAAUAGAAAAGAGUAAAGAAUGCGGCAUCCACACUGUUUCCUGUCCACACCUACUGCACAAAGGACGGCAGUAACUCCUCUCAAUCAAUUUUUUAUUGGCUUGGUUCGAACCGAAAGGAUGAGCCGCUUCCAAUAAUCGCUUUGCUUGGUUCGGUACCUGCAGUGGUGAAAGUGAACCAUACUCCUCCUCCCUCCCCAUGGUUCGGUUUCAAUACACACUGGAGCUGCUCUUAGGUACAUGUUGAGCAGCCAGCAGCAGCUGCAGCCCUCCUUCCCCAACUCCUGAUGGAUGGAUAGAUUGAUGGAUAGACCUUGCAUAGAAACGGCGGCGGCGCGAUUGGUGAUCUCCUUCCCUUGCUGUUGCUUGUGCUGUGCUCUCGAUGUUACCGUUCAUCAUUGCCUUUUCUUCUCCAGUUCACCCCCGCAUGCUCUCUCUCUCUCUCUCUCUCUCUCUCUCUCUCGUGUGUGUGUGUGGUCUCUGUUGGACCCUUCGCUAGGUCUUAACCGGGCACUUUGCCGGUGACGAGCAUCCAGGUCUCUCUCUCUCUCUCUCUCUCUCUCUAACUUAAGCUAUUCGGCUAUUUGUAUUCGGAUCUGAUCUAAUUACAAGUGUAUACAUGUAUUAUUAUGCCUACUAAGAGCAUCUCUAAGAGUUACCAAAACCCACUCCCAAUCUUGAUUUUUGGCAAGAUCUCCAGCUUCUCCCUAUCUGAACUCCCAAUAUUUACGCACUUCAGGCACUUGGGUAAAUUGAUCCGAUCGCAUGGAAAUAUACGUGCGCGUAUCAAUCGGCCAAUCUUGGUGCCAUUUGAUAGGCAGUGUGAAUGGGUCAGGAUAUGUGAUGAUGAGAUAUAAAGAGGUGGAAGCUUGGGUGUAAGCAUCCAGUGGCCAUUGCAAGUGACCAUGUUAGACAUGGAAAUGGGCCUGAACCUGUGAAUCGAGUGCUGAUGAAGGGCGAUGAUGCCUAAUUUUUCUGAUUGCAUGCCCUUCAGAAAUCUAAUUAGAGCUGACCCUCUCCCCUCUUGAGGCACAUUUAAUCAUCCCUUUUUGUUUGUGGUUCUGCCUAGGAAGGUCAUUUGGAUAUGUGUGACAACCAGCGCAGUGCCACUAACAUUAAGAUGGUAAAUUGUGCAGCAAGAGAAGGUAGGGCUUGGUUUCUAUGAUUGAGCAAAGGUGAUGCUGAGCCCUCUUUUUUUCCUCUCUCUCUCUCUCUCUAUCUGCCUUUGCAACUAUUCUCCGCUUCAAAGUUUUCCAGUCAAGAAAAUUUGUUUACGUAUUGAUGUCAGAACUUGGCAUUAAGAGCAUGUUGAUGUUGAAAUUGAAGUUGUCUCACCACGUGGCAGCAGCCAGCUGCAGCAUCAAAGAAGAAUAAUGAUUUCCUUGUUCUAAGAUAUAAUUCGGUUGUCUGUUAGAGUGUUGUGUGGCGCCCUGCAAUGGGCCCCUUUGGGAUGCUGGGUUUUCCCUGAAUCCUUUGUUUUUUCAUGUGAAUUUGAACUGAUUCAUUGGUGCGGCCCUUUGGAACAUAGGAAUUUGAUAGGGAAAUACAGGAACAUCACAGAAAUCAGUUCUUUUUCAUAGCAGAAAUGUAGGAUUCAGCAAAAAGUCCUGCAUUCCAAAACGGGCCCGAAAUUCCUGUUAGAUUCCUAUAUUCCAAAGAGGCCCUAAUGCAAGCAAUCUAGGCUUACUGGUCCUUGUUAGAUCUGCGCUUCCUGGUGCCAUCCUUCCUGCUUCAUUAUGUUGGCUUUUAUGAAGUCGAGCAGAUGGCUUGGUAACCAUGGAGUGGGUUUGCUGUGGCUUCUGGUUGGGGUUUGAUUAGAUGAUCUGGGAUCUACCCUGCGGUUGAUGUUUUUUUUAAUUAUUUGAUUGUAAUUUUAUAUCCUCCUUUGCCCCCCUACCGUACCUUGCGCCCUCCCUUGUGUGUAUGCACGCAUGUGCGAAUUUUCCAUUAUUCGUCUAAUGGUUGUUUAACCUGUUUACAUACAGUUUAAAUGCUACACUUGUCUGUUUAAGUGGCUGUUUAGCCUGAAUAAUGGCUAAAUGACAAGUGACCGACUGUUUACCAUUUAGAUCCACGGCGGAGCUGCUCCAUGGUGAAUCUGAGAUCUAGAUUCACUUUUUCAGUGAUGGAGCUCUGCCAAACAGGCCACUAGGAAUGGGUUCUGGUGGUGGUUUGGAGAACAUAUGGGGAAAUCUGUGUUCCAAAGAGGCCUGAAACUACAUCCUCUUGUCUCCUCUCCCAAAAUUCUUUCUGUAACCAUGUGGGACAUGUUUUUCACUUAUUUCUGGUGUUCACCUAUACAAAACAUUUUUAAGGUUUAUAUCAUGAAUCAUGAUGCCUUGUGUGUUAUGACUUCCUUUUUUGUCUUGUACUACUCUUCAAUGGCUAUGAUGAUUGAACUUUCCAUUAUAGAACUUAUGCAUUAUCUUCUGAGCUGGUCCCUGUGAUCUUCUAUUCUGUUUGUUCUUCACUUGCCUUCCUGCUGGAUUUGAACCUGGGACCUGGGUCAUUGUUAGUGGGACUAAUAAUAUGCCAAGUUAGUUCCAUCUCAUAAGUUCGUACCGAAGUGCCCCUCAAGAAUGAAGAAAGUAAAAAAUAUUCUCAUCUCGGGCAAUGAUCAACAACCAUGGCUGACAUAAGCGCCUUUGAGCAAUCAAGGCUGCUAUGGGAACCAAACUGGAAUCCUCUUCUUUCUCUCGGAAACCUUUUCAAUUAUGUUCUAACGGUAGUGGCUUUGUCCUUGGAUGGUCAUGCCAUUCUUCAUGGGUGAUAACCAGGGCAGGUUCAUUUAUCAGAACAAGUUGCUCUGGUGAUCAGAGAUGAUGAGGAUAUGGUUGAAUGAAUGAGCAAAGGCGAAGCUGAGCCCCCCAACCCCCCAAAUACACACAAAAAAAGAGAAAAAAAGAAUAGAGAAGGACGUUGUAUCCUUUUUCCUUUUGUUGUGCUUGUCUCUUAAUGCUAUGUAUUCCCAUUUGAAUUUUGUUGAUUUGUUGGUUGAAAUGUUUCCUAAUUUUUGCCGUUGAUUCUGCUGUCAGUGUUUGCAUUGUCCUUGGUUUGCAUGACGGAUAUUUUUGGUUAAGUUUGUUGAUCCCAGAAUUUAUUGCAGUAGUUUCAUGAGAUGUUGAGAUCAUGCACUCUUCAAGUUGGAGCUGGAUGAGUUUGAACUUAAGAGGCCAUCACAACUAUUAUAGCCGUGCUGCAGCAUUGAUCCAUUUUGGUAGUUCCUAUACGUUUUCUUUUCUGAUGUUUUUUUGAUGCCUGUCUAUUCACCUUUCUUUCUUGUUUGGAACUGUUCUUCAGUGUCUAAUGAUCAGACGUCCCAACCCUAUAGGGCUAUUACUUUGCAACAUCCUGAAUUGUUUGCUUUGUUAUUUUGCUUGAUUUGCUGCCAAACUAGGAUCUAGUUUGCAACUAAUUGUUGCCAUUGCUGCUGUGGUGGUGUAGUAUAUUGUAUAUAUUCGAAUGAACGUUCCUACUUAGUUCAUUUAGAGAGGGAGGGAGUACAUGGUGCUUAUACAAAUAUUGUGUUGAUACUGGGGCAAAUCUGAGCAUUCAAAAUGAUGUGGUGCUUCGACAAGUAUUCUGUUCUGUACUUUGAUUAUGAUCCUCAUACUUAUGUUUAUGAUUCUCUUUCCUUCAUGGUAUCCUGCCUUUUCUAGUGAUUUCAACUUGGGACCAGGAUCAUGUUACUAAUGGGACUAACUUGGAUUUGAUGACAUUUAAGAUUCCUGACCUGGGUAGAUAUCGAUGCAUAUUUUUUGGUUCGGACACACAAGCUUACUUGGAUUAAUUGCUCAUUUAGUCAUUUUGUUCUAAAAUCUAAAGAAUGUUUUCUUUUCCGACAAACUCAUAUUUAACCACUUCCAUUCUUCCAACAAUACUUUGGGCAGACAACCUUGGCAUUAAUGGUCCUAAAUCCUAAUUGUGCACCAUGACCGUGAUGAAUCUUGGUUGAUCAAACAAAUGGAUAGACAUACUAAAUUACUAUCAUGAGUGUGGCUGUACUUUUUGGUCAUGUGUGUGAAAACUUCUCGUUGUGUGUGCAGUUCACAAAGGAACAGGCUAUUUCUUGGCCUGCAUGUUUAGGUCAUGGCUCAUAAGUUCGGCCGCAAAAGCUAAGAGUAGUUAGGAGUCAAUACUAUACUUUGUUGGGGAUAUAAUAAUUCCACCUAUGAAACAGCACAAGGUCAACUUAUCAGAGCCUCGCCCUCUGACCGCUGCUUCUUGUUGCUCCUCCCACUGAUUGAACCACACGAGCUCUGAUGAAGUUGUUGCCUUGCAUCCUUCUUAGGUAUGUGAUUACAUCCACGUUGUUGACCUGGUUGAUGGCCAUAUAGCAGCCCUGACGAAGUUCUAUGAAGAAUCGGACAAAAUAGUACAUGUAGGGUACUAGGGUGUGAAGUAUACAAUCUGGGGACAGGAUAGGGGACAUCGGUGUUGGAAAUGGUGGCUGCAUUUGAAGAAGGUUUCUGGGAAGAUCCUAAAUUAAAGGAACAGCCUCCUAACAGGCAACUGUGGCUGAUACUUAGCCACUAGAGGCUGCUGUUGCCUUCUUCCUGGUGUAUUGCUUUCCAAUAAAAGCGUCCACAACCAUGUUUGCUGGGUGAAGACCUGGAGACAAGAGAUUGUCUAUGCCGCAACUGCCAAGGCAAAGAAAGAGCUCAAAUGGAAGGCAAAGUGGGAUCGAGGAGAUGUGUAGAGAUCUGUGGAAUUGGGCAAGCAAGAACCCAUACGGCUAUGCUGGAUCACGCGACAACAGCAAAUGAAUCAUCUAUCCAUCCAUCUAUCCAUCGUGCAGUAGUAGCAAGCAGCAAACUGAGCAGCAGCAGGCUAUACUACCAUAAUUAAUAGCUCAUCAUAUGUAUAGUCAGUCAGUCAUCUAAUUAGGGGAUGCUGCGAUGGGACUUGUCUCUUUAAUGUAUAGAGAGACGAGUAGGGGGUUCCAUCUCAUCCGCACCCGAUGCCAGCAUCUUCCCCUUUUUUUUUAAAAAAAAAGGAGAAAAAAACAUUCCUGUAUGAUUGUUAGGCCAGUCUUGAUAUUACUCCAUGGUUUGUUGCUAGGAAAGGAAUAAACUCCAUACAUACCUAAUUAUAGAUACACUGACUGUCUCUGAUAAUAUGAUACCAUACUUGAUUCG
Molecule: long non-coding RNA, 8325 nt
Organism: Sorghum bicolor (sorghum)
Lineage: Eukaryota; Viridiplantae; Streptophyta; Magnoliopsida; Poales; Poaceae
Exons: 5
Source: RefSeq, a predicted model, not a curated record